Molecule: long non-coding RNA, 1899 nt
Filed under: Mytilus galloprovincialis (Mediterranean mussel)
Lineage: Eukaryota; Metazoa; Mollusca; Bivalvia; Mytilida; Mytilidae
Source: RNAcentral
GGCCGCAUUAUAGUAUUAAACCUGUCGAAUAACAAGGUACACAAAUACGCAAUGAGAAAGUUUAGUUUUAUAUUUGAAUAUUAAUGUUUAAGGUGUGUUUUUUAUGUAGCAGGGAUUGUGAUGACGUUACUAAACGACGUAAGGCCUGGGUUAAUACAAAUACUUAAAAUAGACAAUUUAAAAAAAAAGAAUAGAGAACAGUGACUUACUAUAAAGAAUUACAAAAAUUGUACACACAUUUAGAAUUCAAAAAUAUCGGCUACAAAAGAAAUACAGACAUACACACUAUCAAGAAAAACGUAUUGCUAGGGAUAUAUAAAUUAUAUUCCCCACUGUCUGAUAUUGGUUGUUUUUCGUCUUCGUCGUCUAAUUUCUUCGUUAUUUAAGAGAUGUUUCAUUUAACGUAAAUUAAGUAUUGGAUCACACACGCCCUUAUUGGUGUUAUUUGUAACUCAUACGACCAUGCGACCGCAUAAUUAAACAUUUGUGCGGUUUGCUGUACCAUCAACGCCUCAUGCUCAUAAUGUAAUUAGAAGUAAUCCAUUGUCCAAAUGUGCAUAAAAACUGUGUGUUUUUAUACCAAAUACGAAUGAAGGUUUACAUAGUAAAUAUAUCUUGGAUGAACUACAUUAACAGAAAGAAUGUUAUUGAUAGAAGCAGAAUAAACCGGUUUGGUAUAUAAAACCAAUACAUGCGAAUACUGAAUUGAAUACUUAGAAGUAACAGAUUAAAGCAAGGGAUCGACUAUCACGGAAUUUGCAAUUACGGUAAACACACAAGAAUAUCUUUUCACGUAACUCGACAAACGGGAAUUAAACCACACACAUCUUUCAGCCCAGAAAUUAGUUAUAUUCUCCGUAGCAGAGAUUAAUUGGACAUUUGACGCGGCGUUUGAAGUGAGUCUACCAUGUUUAAUGUUUGGUAAUAAAAGGAAAGUUGACACUGGCCGAGGAAAGUUGAAACUGGCAGAGGAUAGUUGACACCGGCCGAGAAAAGUUGGAUACAAGUUGCAGAAUACACAUAGGAUACCACGACGGUUUGACUAAACAAAAAAACCAAACACGGAAUAAAGUCAUAAUAAUGGCGCAAUGAAGUCAAAUGCCAAAAGGAACCAGCAGAUUGACAAAAGAAGUAUACAUGUAUAAUCAAACUAUUAAAGAACUACUCGAGUGCGACAGGUUUCUUAGCAUGCUACUUUCUAAAUCGAAUGCAGCAGGUUAUACUUACAGUUCAGUCAAAUUUAAGUUUUCUGGCUUACUUUGAUUUCGCCAUUGCAACGUCCGGAUUUAAGUAGAUGAUUGCCACUGACAUCACAUGGGAAACAAUCAUUGACAAAUGAAACAGAAGAAAAACUUUUGCCUUAAUGUCAUCAAAGCGGGUUAUUUAAAAGUAUGAAUUAUCAUGUGACCGUGACGGCAUCAAAGUUUUUAUUUCAUGAUUUACUUCUAAAAAUGAAAAACAAAUUAUAAGAAAUGAUUGUUAUAUGUUUUCUGUCUAUUCGGAAUAAACUCAAAAAUGUGGUACAUACUUUUAAAUAACCCGCUUUGAAAGCAAAAGGUGUAACAAAUUUUGAAUUUUGAAUUUACCUCUGUGGAUAAUUCUGACAAUGUAUUUCAAAACUGAAUCUGACUUAAUCUGAGCGUCACUGAUGAGUCUUAUUUUGUAGACGAAACGCGCAUCUGGCAUGUACCAUUUCUUCUGAUUGACUGAAAAUUUUUCUGUAUUGUUUAUUCUUGGUUCAGAACUUUUAAGUGUCAUAAGUAGUUGACAUCUACCGGUAAAUAACAACAGCAGACUGAAUUGUCUACAAUGCUACUAAAUAGUACAAGAUUAAUUGUAAGUGACUAUUACUGAAUUUUAAACAAGAAAAUAUUUAAACAAUGACUACAAGAUUUAUCA